ACUGGAUGUUGGUCUCAACUCGGAGAUCAGUGUCGAAGCUAACGCGUUAAGUUCGCCGCCUGGGGAGUACGGUCGCAAGACUGAAACUCAAAGGAAUUGACGGGGGCCCGCACAAGCGGUGGAGUAUGUGGUUUAAUUCGAUGCAACGCGAAGAACCUUACCUGGCCUUGACAUGUCUGGAAUCCUGCAGAGAUGCGGGAGUGCCUUCGGGAAUCAGAACACAGGUGCUGCAUGGCUGUCGUCAGCUCGUGUCGUGAGAUGUUGGGUUAAGUCCCGCAACGAGCGCAACCCUUGUCCUUAGUUGCCAGCACGUAAUGGUGGGAACUCUAAGGAGACUGCCGGUGACAAACCGGAGGAAGGUGGGGAUGACGUCAAGUCCUCAUGGCCCUUACGGCCAGGGCUACACACGUACUACAAUGGUCGGUACAGAGGGUUGCAAUACCGCGAGGUGGAGCCAAUCCCAGAAAGCCGAUCCCAGUCCGGAUCGGAGUCUGCAACUCGACUCCGUGAAGUCGGAAUCGCUAGUAAUCGCGGAUCAGCUAUGCCGCGGUGAAUACGUUCCCGGGCCUUGUACACACCGCCCGUCACACCAUGGGAGUGAGUUGCUCCAGUAGCCGUUAGUC
Molecule: ribosomal RNA, 623 nt
Filed under: Lysobacteraceae bacterium
Lineage: Bacteria; Pseudomonadati; Pseudomonadota; Gammaproteobacteria; Lysobacterales; Lysobacteraceae
Description: bacterial SSU rRNA
Rfam family: Bacterial small subunit ribosomal RNA
Source: RNAcentral